UGGGGAAUAUUGGACAAUGGGCGCAAGCCUGAUCCAGUCAUGCCGCGUGAGUGAUGAAGGCCUUAGGGUUGUAAAGCUCUUUCGCCGGUGAAGAUAAUGACGGUAACCGGAGAAGAAGCCCCGGCUAACUUCGUGCCAGCAGCCGCGGUAAUACGAAGGGGGCUAGCGUUGCUCGGAAUCACUGGGCGUAAAGCGCACGUAGGCGGAUCGUUAAGUCAGGGGUGAAAUCCUGGAGCUCAACUCCAGAACUGCCCUUGAUACUGGCGAUCUCGAGUUCGAGAGAGGUUGGUGGAACUCCGAGUGUAGAGGUGAAAUUCGUAGAUAUUCGGAAGAACACCAGUGGCGAAGGCGGCCAACUGGCUCGAUACUGACGCUGAGGUGCGAAAGCGUGGGGAGCAAAACAGGAUUAGAUACCCUGGUAGUCCACGCCGUAAACGAUGGAUGCUAGCCGUUGGGGGGUUUACCUCUCAGUGGCGCAGUAACGCCUUAAGCAUCCCGCCUGGGGAGUACGGUCGCAAGAUUAAAACUCAAAUGAAUUGACGGGGUCAUAGCUGUUUCCU
RNAcentral lists this ribosomal RNA (560 nucleotides) under uncultured bacterium. Its description in RNAcentral is "partial 16S ribosomal RNA". It matches the Rfam family "Bacterial small subunit ribosomal RNA", at positions 355 to 1375 of the family's 1533-position model. The record is from RNAcentral.